UUGCCACUGAGCCACCUGGGAAGCCCCAAAUUGUAUGUUGAGCAUCAGGACAGUGACAAAGAAAACCAUUUAUAGGUUACUCAUGCUACUACACAACUGGAAUCAAGCAAGAUGAUUUCAGAUACUUUUCUAAAUUUGCAUUUAUUUCCACGUUCAGCCUUUCAAAAGCCUUCUGAGAGAAUGGUACUCAUCAUUUGUGGCUUCUUCAGAAAUCAGGUUUACAUAAGUUUAAGCAAUAGGCACAUGAUGGAAAAUAAGAAAUAUUCUGGGAUUUCAUAACUUACCUGUUUUGUAAAUCUGGACAUUCACAAAGUGAUUUUAUUUUUCAUGAUUGGAAAACAACUGAUAGUAUACCAUUGCAAAAUGGCCAGAGUUCAUGCCUUUUAUCACCAACAUCCUCAAGUGCUGCAAAGGGUUGUAAGACAGAGUUCUGAAAAACUGAAUCUGGAAUUCAUAAUGAAUGGAAUAAGCCACAUUUAAAAAAAUUAUCUAGAAAAUAUAUUCUAUUUAACUUAUGGGAAAGCAGUUAAUUUUAUAAUCAGAAUGAAAGAGAAAAUUUACACUCCUCCACCUAAGAAAAAGAAUGUAUCCCCAAUUAACUACUUCUGAUGAAGACUGAAUAUUAAUUCACAUUAUUUGCUCUAAAUCUAUUUAUUUGGAAAAAAAUUGAUUAACAAUGUCAUUCACCUCACUUUCUGCUUUCUCUUUAAUUGUACAAUGUUGCCUUUGGAUUUGAAUAGUGAUGUUUUUAAGAAAGCCUCUAUCCAUAACAACAAAAAAGUCAAUCUUGAAAAAUUUUCAAUGAGUAAACAUAUACUUU
Non-coding RNA from Odocoileus virginianus texanus, 820 nucleotides. Lineage: Eukaryota; Metazoa; Chordata; Mammalia; Artiodactyla; Cervidae. The record is from RefSeq and is a predicted model, not a curated record.